GGAUGUGAGGGCAAUCUGGCUGCGUCAUUUGUCACCCCACUGAUUGCCAGGGUUGAUUCUGCUGAUCUGGCUAGCUGGGGUGGGAUGCCUUCCUCCCUUACCAGUCUAUGUGUGUCCUUCCAGAGGUUGUGCACUAGGUUGAAGAGGGUGACCAUCCCCAAUACAGGAGGGCCCAUCUUCAGUCAUGGGUAUAUAAGUAGCUGCAUUCCACUGCUGGAAAUUCCAAAUAGACUCUCAAAAUAUUACUGCUCAUUAACAAUGCAUCUGGUUACCCAAGAACUCUGAUGGAGAUGUAGAAGAGUAAUUCUGUUGC
This 313-nucleotide small nuclear RNA is filed under the name Cebus imitator (Panamanian white-faced capuchin). Its description in RNAcentral is "7SK RNA (ENSCCAG00000009504.1)". It matches the Rfam family "7SK RNA", at positions 1 to 276 of the family's 331-position model. From Rfam's summary of the family: 7SK was discovered as an abundant small nuclear RNA in the mid-70s but a possible function has only recently been suggested. Two independent studies have found that 7SK RNA binds the CDK9/cyclin T complex (known as elongation factor P-TEFb). The record is from RNAcentral. Lineage: Eukaryota; Metazoa; Chordata; Mammalia; Primates; Cebidae.